RNAcentral lists this ribosomal RNA (331 nucleotides) under uncultured eukaryote. RNAcentral describes it as "partial 18S ribosomal RNA". It matches the Rfam family "Eukaryotic small subunit ribosomal RNA", at positions 1470 to 1796 of the family's 1831-position model. The record is from RNAcentral.
CCCUUAGAUGUCCUGGGCCGCACGCGCGCUACACUGAACGGAUCAGCGCGUUUUCCCUUCCCGAGAGGGACGGGUAACCUGCUGAACCCCGUUCGUGGUAGGGAUCGGGGCUUGCAAUUAUUCCCCGUGAACCAGGAAUGCCCAGUAAGUGCAAGUCAUAAGCUUGCGUUGAUUACGUCCCUGCCCUUUGUACACACCGCCCGUCGCUACUACCGAUUGAAUGGUUUAGUGAGAUCCUCGGAUUGGCCAUCUCGGCGUGACUUCGGUUGUGCACGUGGUGGCCGAGACGACGAUCAAACUUGAUCAUUUAGAGGAAGUAAAAGUCGUAACA